CGAAGACAGCCCGUGGGCGCUCGUGUGAGGGCCGCGGCUACAGCGCUGUUACGUCUGGUCAUCUGCUGCCACCUCGCUGCCACGACAGCAGCAGCCAGCACAUCACACUGCCAGUGCGACAUCGUACUCGGCUUACCGAAUCCGCCCGUCGGCUACGAGAUACCAGAGCUUGACGAGAAGCUGAGAGAGGAACUGCUGACGCCCGUGUGUCGCGAACGCAAAGUGAUCGAGAAGGCGCUAGUGAGAAGUAUCAACGACCUGGAUAAUCGAGGUCACUGUAGAUGUCUCAUCACCGGCCUUGGGAAGCGUCCGAAAGAGCUGCCGCUGGUGUUUAGCCACGAUUCAUCAGGAAAUCGCGUAGUCUUCGGGAAAUUCUACGAAAUUCGGGAUUGCGUGCCUCACCGAGAGUCCACCGUUGCCGUACAGUGAAUGUGCACAUCACCACCAUGCCUAAAGACGAUAUAGACACUAGAUACAACAUCGCGCUCGCCAACCCACACACACAUACACGAGCGAGUGCAUGCACAGGCACACAGUCACGAGCAAAGAUACACGAGCACAUGUGAUUGUGGCAGACCUGAGACGGUGAAGGUGACAAGCGCAAUUCAUCGUGAGAAAGCAAUUAACUAUAACGAGUGGAUAGAUCAAGGAACCUUAAAAAAGACGCCAUAGCAGAAUGACUCUGCAGUUCCGCAACGUCGUCGGCGUCGUGACGCUACUCUAUUGGCUGACGCAGACGCUAGUGUCGACGCAGGCAAGCUGCGUCAAGCGGCUUGACCUUGACACGUCGCACGUCAUGCGCUAUGACGGUUACUCUCCGGUGACGUUGACGCGUCACAAGUGCGUGCACUCCGUGGAGAAGUACCUCGUGCCGCAGGUAUACCUGUCCGAAGCCGAGCUGGUCUACUCAAGGCAGAAGAUCGUAGAGUAUCAGGCGCGAGAUUGCUGCAAAUGUCGGGCACAGAUCGUGCAGCGUAAGGUACUUCUGAGGAGUAACAUGCCAGAGUACCACGACAACUUUCUGGAGGUGUACCCGGAUGUGGCGCGAUGCCGUGCAGAAUGCACACAGUGCAGCUAGGCACAGAGGAUCAACGAUGGGACUACUGCUAGCUUACACAUGCUGAUAAAAUAACCCAACGGAGGUGUUUAUUGAAUCGCAUUUAAAUUAUUUGUCUUUCACCGUUUCAACUAUAACUUGUUCAAAACAGAACAAACGCGUAUUUUCAUUUAUGUUCAUGGGCAACCAAUAUGUUUUCUCGCACUAUAAUGUGUAUCCAUUCAAACGCUUACCUUUGCUGCUACUAGUAGUUGAAGUUUGAUUGGUAGUGAAAAAGAUUCUCCUGUGCGUAUUCAGGUAAAUUGUGAUUAUAACUGUUGAGAAACUGAUCCACGUAUUGCCAUCGGUUUUCGGUUCCCAUAAAUUCUAUCGGCCAUAUAUCUUCAACUUAUAUAUCCUAUAUAUAUCCCCGCUUGGGUUAACUCGGCGUUUUUAUUUCUUGUAGAGCAGGGCGUGGCCUGUAAUUUUUUUAGCAUUAUAUAAUAUAAUGCAUAAUUUGUCUACAAAACGCAAAUAAUGGUCAAUUUUAAGCGAGUAUUUUUCAUGUUUUGUCCAACCGUUUUCAUAUUUUUUCGACUAUUCUGAUACUGACAAGUACACCUUAUGUAACACCAAGUGAGGUUGGCAUGUCAUAGAACACUCGCGUGUCAUUCGUUUCACCAAUUAUAUGUGCACCGAUCUGAAUUCCAAGAUUUCUUUACGUUUAAUUGUUAACAAAUCUAGCGCUUGAUUUUCGAUCUCGCGAGAUGCCAUCGACUGGUAACUUGUCUCUACACUAUGUUACCUUUGUCUGCAUAUCGAGAUAGAUACCAGUCUAUAAAUAUAUGCCUUACGUAUCUACAUGCA
RNAcentral lists this unclassified non-coding RNA (1903 nucleotides) under Priapulus caudatus. Its description in RNAcentral is "uncharacterized LOC106812999, transcript variant X1". Lineage: Eukaryota; Metazoa; Priapulida; Priapulimorpha; Priapulimorphida; Priapulidae. The record is from RNAcentral.